UACGAGUGCCCCGAGCGUUAUCCGGAAUUAUUGGGCGUAAAGGGUGUGUAGGUUGUUUUGUUAGUCUUUUGUUAAAUCUCCCGGCUUAACCGGGAAGCUGCGAAAGAUACGGCAAAACUAGAGGAUGCGAGAGGUGUACGGAACUCAUAGUGUAGGGGUGAAAUCCGUUGAUAUUAUGAGGAACACCAAAGGCGAAGGCAGUACACUGGCGCACUCCUGACACUGAAACACGAAAGCGUGGGUAGCGAAUGGG
This 253-nucleotide ribosomal RNA is filed under the name uncultured bacterium. RNAcentral's name for it is "partial 16S ribosomal RNA". It matches the Rfam family "Bacterial small subunit ribosomal RNA", at positions 524 to 776 of the family's 1533-position model. The record is from RNAcentral.